This 1786-nucleotide long non-coding RNA is filed under the name Sus scrofa (pig). RNAcentral describes it as "lncRNA (ENSSSCG00030069723.1)". The record is from RNAcentral. Lineage: Eukaryota; Metazoa; Chordata; Mammalia; Artiodactyla; Suidae.
UAUUUUUUUUUUUGUACCUAAUUUUUUUUGGCCACACCCACGGCAUGCAGAAGUUCCCAGGCCAGGGAACAAACAUGCACCACAGUAGUGACCCAAACCACAGCAGUGACAAUACCAGAUAAUUAACCUGUUAAGCCACCAAGGAACUCCCUAUCUUAAUUAUGGUCACAGAAUAUACUGUAUGGUUACAAUUAUUUGAGUCUUGUUUAGAUUUGAUUCCUGGUAUAGAAAAUGGUCAGUUUUUGUAAAUGUUCCAUGUCCAUGAAAAAAAUGUGUAUUUGUUAAGUAGGGUAGCAUAUACAUGGUGAUUAGGUCAAUUCUAUCUUUUAUAACCUUUAUUACUAAGUGUGUGAUCUUCCUCUGUGAUUACAGAUUUCUCUAUUUCCCCCUGUAGUCCUGAUAAACUUAGAGCCUAUGUGUUAAACUCAAUAAAUUUAGAAUUGCUAAAUCUUCCUAAUGAAUCAGUCUUUUUAUCAACUUUAGUCUCUCUUGCUGGUCUCUUUACUUACUAGCAAGUCUUCUGCCUGAUAGCCUGAUAUUAACAUAGCCACAGCAGCUUUCUUUUGGCUAGUGUUUAUAUAUUUUAUCCUUUCACUUUUCUGUAUCCCGACAUUUUAUGUGUCUCUUUUGUAUAUACAGGCAUGUCUCAGAUAUCGUGGGUUCAGUUCCAGACAUCCAUAAUAAAGUGAUUAUCACAAUAAAGUGAAUCACACAAAUCUUUUUUUUUUUUUUUUUUUUUUUUUUUUUUUUUUUUUUUUUUUUUUUUUUUUNNNNNNNNNNNNNNNNNNNNNNNNNNNNNNNCGGCAUAUGGAGGUUCCCAGUGCAUAUAAAAGCUAUGGUUACACUUGGGAGUUCCCUGAUGACUCAGCAAGUUUGAUCCCUGGCCUGGAGUUCCCUGGUGGCUCAGCAAGUUUGAUCCCUGGCCUAGGAACCUCCACAUGCCAGGGAAGGGUCAGAAACAAAACAAAAACAACAAUGAAAUUUAUGUUUAAUUAUACGUUGGACCAUUAAGUGUACAAUAGCACUAUGUCUAAAAAAACUGCAGGAGUUCCCACUGCGGCAGAGAGGAUUAAGGAUCUGGCGCUGCUGUAGCAGCUGUGGCUUGAAUUCAGUCCCUGGCCUAUUGUGUACAAUAUACAGAGGGCAUGAAAGUGGGCUGAGGAAUUCAUGAAACACUUCAGUGGGCAUCUAAAGCUAAAGAUGAGUGGAAAUACGAAAGAACCUGGGAGGGGGAGCACUGUAAAUCUGACUAUGAAAGCAUACGGCAUCUUCCCCACAUCUGGGAAACAACUAUGACUAGAAUUUAGUGGCAGACCAUGUAGGUGAUGAAUAAGGAGGUGAGAUUAGGCUGAAAAGGAAAGCAAGGGCCAGACCACAAAAGGCCUUACAUACUAGAUGAAGAGUUUGAACAUCACCCUGUAGGAAAGGUGGUAGAAGGUUGAUAUUAAAGGGUAACAAAGAGAAAAUAAAUUUAUUCAAGAAAGAUCAUUUAGGCAAGAAAUUAUAGGAAAAGGUAUAAGGGUAAAAUAAGGCACAGAUCAAUUAGUAAACCUACUGGAUGGAAUACUCCAGGCCAGAGAAGACUAGAGCGAGGGUCAAAGCACCAAUAUAGAAAGAUGGAUUGAUACUGAAGUACUACCCAGUCUUUAGUGACUGAAUAUGAAGAGAAAUUAAGGUUUAAGCCCAGCUUUCAAGCACUAUUCACAGAGACAGAGUACAAGAGAACAUUUAGAUGAAAGAUAAUGAAAGAUAAUGCCAUCCAUUUAGAUCUCUUGGAGUAAAAGAG